AGAAUUUAUUUCUGAAGGGGCUCAACUAGAACGGCGUAGAAUGGAGCCAGCAACAUCCUCUGGGCCUGAGUCAUCUCGGGCUUCUGACAUGGAAGGAGCCGAUUCCAUGACUCCUAGCUUCCUGAAGAGGUCCCAUCUCAUACCCCAUGGCUCACUCCGGAUCCCAGAGCUGUGCGCUGCCUCUCAGGCCUGUGGCCCAGGUGACACUGCUGCAGGCCAGCAGCUUCCGAGCUUCCGCUGACUCGGCCCUCACCGUGACCAGUACACUUUUACUGGCCAUCUAAUCUGCCGAUGUGUACAAAUAGAACCGCGUAAUGGGGGCUGCAGUCACGUCAUGCCGUGCCCAGAACCACUGAUCUUUGUCAACACUGAAGAAGGGGUCUGGCCUGGGGGGUGGUGGGGGUUGCAGGCCUUCGGGGGUUGGCUCAGCUACGAGCAACGGUACCACAGCAUCAUGAUGCCUUCUCUGCUCUGCCUGCCCCAGCUUGGCCCCUGCCAGCUGCUGGCCCAGCGGAUGCCCAUGGUCUCCCAGUUGCCUUAAUUCCAAUAUGAAGAAUUUUUAUUUUUUACCACGAUUUCAAGAACAAAUUUGAGUUAAGCAAACUGAAUGCUCAUUUGUUUUCUCCAAGUAUAUAAUCUAUCUGCUGCUUCAGUACACUCUUUCCUGUGGACAAGGGGAGAAGGGGGCUGCUUUAUUCAGUCACUGAAGAAAAAACAACAAAAACCCACCCUUCAUGAUGGAUGAGCCUGAAGAGAAAAGCACUUCCUCUCGAUGACUGAGGCAAGAGAGGAAAGCUGCAGGUAGCCCGCAGACACACAAUGUCUUCCAGACGGGCUCCAGACAAGCACAGGCCCUCCCUCACCACAGACCACUGGAGGGAUGCCGGAGGUCGGAGCCAGACCCCCCAGCAGCUGAGCUAGCAGCAGGGGGAAGUUGUUUCUCUAUGGAACGGGAGUGUCUGCGUAAUCCCGCUAGACCGUCCACCGGUCCAGUCUUUUCCUGUGAAAAGGUUUUGGGCAUUAUCCAACCCACUUUGCUUACACGGCAUCAAGGGCACCCUUGGGCGGGUGUCACUCUGACCUCCAGGGGACACACGGUGUUAGGAGAAACUUUCUUCCGAUCACGUCAAGACCAACAUAAAUUCUCCUCUGUCCUGUUUCAUUUCUCCGAAAUCUACUGUAUAUUAGCCAAGCUGAAGCGUUGUGUAUUCCAGUCCAUCUGCGUAUUUGAAGCCGUUUCCAACUCUGACUCUCGUUGGCUCUGUUAUGUACAGGUGAUUCCAUCACUUGCCGGUGGGACCGUCACAGCAACUAAUCAGACUUCCCCCCAGUGUCCUAACUCCCAGGUCCCUUGUUAA
Molecule: long non-coding RNA, 1358 nt
Filed under: Canis lupus familiaris (dog)
Lineage: Eukaryota; Metazoa; Chordata; Mammalia; Carnivora; Canidae
Description: lncRNA (ENSCAFG00030019368.1)
Source: RNAcentral